CCCAGAGGUAUUGAUAGGUGAAGUCAGCGACUUAGCUGAUCACAACACUUACACCAACCUGCGCGGAUGCGCAGGUUUUUUUU
RNAcentral lists this small RNA (83 nucleotides) under Cronobacter sakazakii. Its description in RNAcentral is "OmrA-B family". It matches the Rfam family "OmrA-B family". RNAcentral also lists the same sequence under 2 other names. Lineage: Bacteria; Pseudomonadati; Pseudomonadota; Gammaproteobacteria; Enterobacterales; Enterobacteriaceae. The record is from RNAcentral.